CUGGAGUCUGGGCUUCUUGCUCAUGUACCCAUUCCGGCCAUUCUCUAGGUCAAGGAUGGACCGUAGCUUCUCUGCUUCCAACUCAUAGUCCUGUGGGAAGACGUUCCCAGGAGGAAGGCAAGUUGCUGAGGUUGGUGGGACCUGGAGCACUGUUGGCAGGAUCUCCCAGAAGGUUCUGAGUCAGAAUUGCAGUCCUUACCUUCACUGCCUGCUGGUAUUGCUGAGCUGUGGCGGAGAUCUUCUGCACCUCCUGUUCCUUGC
Long non-coding RNA from Aquila chrysaetos chrysaetos, 261 nucleotides. RefSeq lists it as uncharacterized. Lineage: Eukaryota; Metazoa; Chordata; Aves; Accipitriformes; Accipitridae. The record is from RefSeq and is a predicted model, not a curated record. The transcript is spliced from 3 exons.